GCUCCCGUAGCUCAGUUGUAUAGAGCGUCCGCCUCCUAAGCGGAAGGUCGCGCGUUAGAGUCGCGCCGGGAGCACCA
Molecule: transfer RNA, 77 nt
Filed under: Pyrinomonadaceae bacterium
Lineage: Bacteria; Pseudomonadati; Acidobacteriota; Blastocatellia; Blastocatellales; Pyrinomonadaceae
Also listed under: 1 other name
Description: tRNA-Arg
Rfam family: tRNA
About the family: Transfer RNA (tRNA) molecules are approximately 80 nucleotides in length. Their secondary structure includes four short double-helical elements and three loops (D, anti-codon, and T loops).
Source: RNAcentral